GAUGGCGACCGGCGCACGGGUGAGUAACGCGUAUCCAACCUUCCCCUUACUAGAGGAUAGCCCGGCGAAAGUCGGAUUAAUACUCUAUGUUCUCCUUAGCAGGCAUCUAACGAGGAGCAAAGAUUCAUCGGUAAGGGAUGGGGAUGCGUCUGAUUAGCUUGCCGGCGGGGUAACGGCCCACCGGGGCAACGAUCAGUAGGGGUUCUGAGAGGAAGGUCCCCCACAUUGGUACUGAGACACGGACCAAACUCCUACGGGAGGCAGCAGUGAGGAAUAUUGGUCAAUGGGCGGAAGCCUGAACCAGCCAAGUAGCGUGCAGGAAGACUGCCCUAUGGGUUGUAAACUGCUUUUAUGCGGGAAUAAAGUUCACUACGUGUAGUGUUUUGUAUGUACCGCAUGAAUAAGGACCGGCUAAUUCCGUGCC
This 424-nucleotide ribosomal RNA is filed under the name uncultured bacterium. Its description in RNAcentral is "bacterial SSU rRNA". It matches the Rfam family "Bacterial small subunit ribosomal RNA", at positions 87 to 509 of the family's 1533-position model. The record is from RNAcentral.